GUUAAUCCUCAAAACUGCUUUUGAUUUCCACAGAUUUUUGCCUGGCUUUGAGCAUCCACAGAUCCUCUCAAUGCUCUGUUAUUUCAUUCGGACUUUCCUGGAAACAGAAUUGCCUCCUAUGGCUGAACCAACAGAAGCCAGGUGACAGGGGAGCCUUUGAUGCAGACAUGGAAUACUGUUCUCUCAGCACCCUGUCUUACAGGUGACCCUUAAACAAGGCAGCAUGACAGUUACCACAGAUUCCUCUCAUCCAUCAUGAGAACACUGUGAUAGAAUUGUCUCUUAGGGACACGGAGAACAGGCUCUCAAAGAGUAGGUACAAAGUCCUAUAAAGCAU
Cebus imitator (Panamanian white-faced capuchin) is the source of this 337-nucleotide long non-coding RNA. RefSeq lists it as uncharacterized. The record is from RefSeq and is a predicted model, not a curated record. NCBI's taxonomy places the organism in Eukaryota, Metazoa, Chordata, Mammalia, Primates, Cebidae. The transcript is spliced from 3 exons.